Molecule: ribosomal RNA, 404 nt
Filed under: uncultured prokaryote
Description: bacterial SSU rRNA
Rfam family: Bacterial small subunit ribosomal RNA
Source: RNAcentral
CAAGGAAUCUUCCGCAAUGGGCGAAAGCCUGACGGAGCAACGCCGCGUGUGGGAUGACGCCUUUCGGGGUGUAAACCACUUUUCUCAGGGAAGAAGCACUGACGGUACCUGAGGAAGAAGGACCGGCUAACUACGUGCCAGCAGCCGCGGUAAUACGUAGGGUCCGAGCGUUGACCGGAGUUACUGGGCGUAAAGCGCGCGCAGGCGGCGGAGUAAGCAUGGCGUGAACGCCCCAGGCUCAACCUGGGAGGGUCGUCGUGGACUGCUUCGCUUGAGGGCGGUAGGGGCUGGUGGAAUGCCUGGUGUAGUGGUGAAAUGCGUAGAGAUCAGGCGGAACACCCGUGGCGAAGGCGGCCAGCUGGGCCGUCCCUGACGCUGAGGCGCGAAGGCGUGGGGAGCGAACG